Molecule: long non-coding RNA, 778 nt
Filed under: Brassica napus (rape)
Lineage: Eukaryota; Viridiplantae; Streptophyta; Magnoliopsida; Brassicales; Brassicaceae
Description: long non-coding RNA (BNAP_LNC009409)
Source: RNAcentral
UGAAGAUCGAAGGUCGUCGUGGAAGAAAGAGUGAUGGUGAUUAAUCGAGCCCGAGCUCAAUGCUGACCUUAGACUCAUUCUAGAAGAAAGAGGGAAACCCGAGAUUUCCGGGGCCCGGUAACAAGACCAAGGCGAAGAUAUAAGAGAAUCUAAAUGAGAAGGAUGAAUAUAAAAGGAGAAAAUAGAAAGUCAUUAGUUCAACUAGAAAAAAAUCAUGUCAAUGGGUGGGCACUUCGGUUAUUUUCUUAGUUCGGUUCGAUUUGGUUAGUUUGGUUCUAGUAUUUUUCCAACUGAAAUAAACUAUAGUUAGUUCGGUUUGUGUUCGGUUAGGUUUAUAUUAGUGAUGGUGAUUAAUCGAGCCCGAGCUCAAUGCUGACCUUAGACUCAUUCUAGAAGAAAGAGGGAAACCCGAGAUUUCCGGGGCCCGAUAACAAGACCAAGGCGAAGAUAUAAGAGAAUCUAAAUGAGAAGGAUGAAUAUAAAAGGAGAAAAUAGAAAGUCAUUAGUUCAACUAGAAAAAAAUCAUGUCAAUGGGUGAGUACUUCGGUUAUUUUCUCGGUUCGUUUCGGGUUCGGUUCGGUUUGGUUAGUUUGGUUCUAGUAUUUUUUCAACUGAAAUUAACUAUAGUUAGUUCGGUUUGUGUUCGGUUCGGUUUAUAUUCGGUUUGGUUGGGUUUAUUUUUUGGAUCAGUUUAAUUAGGUUCUUCUUAGUUUAACUUUUUAAGAGAAAUUAUGUUUUAAAACAUAAAUUAUGUAAACAUAAACUAUGUGAACUAAAU